This 829-nucleotide unclassified non-coding RNA is filed under the name Burkholderia sp. RNAcentral's name for it is "partial contains 16S ribosomal RNA and 16S-23S ribosomal RNA intergenic spacer". The stretch from base 167 to 829 matches the Rfam family "Bacterial small subunit ribosomal RNA", at positions 1 to 1329 of the family's 1533-position model. The record is from RNAcentral. Lineage: Bacteria; Pseudomonadati; Pseudomonadota; Betaproteobacteria; Burkholderiales; Burkholderiaceae.
AGUCACGUUAGAUGACGCAUGCACUAUCGCAACGAUGAGAGUCUCGUCAGCACUCACUGAUAGCAUGAGUCAAUGCAUGCGUAGCGGAGGCACGUAUCGGUCAGACGGUAUCGAUGCAGCGUACCGAUACUGGUCCCGCGACGCGUCGUCAGUCAGUGAUCCAGGUCACCUCGACUGCAUCGAACUGCACAGUCAGAUGACGAGUCGAUUCAGUUACAGUACUGGUAGUCUCGCGGAUACCGUUGCGCGCGUUCAUGACAACAUGUCGUCAGUGGAAGCUCGGUACAACAUGGAUAGUACCUGUAGUCACGCGUCAGCAGUCGAUUUAGAGGUGUGUCCUUGAGCGUGGCUCAGGAGCUAACGCGCUAAAUCGACUGCUUGGGGAGUACGGCCGCAAGGUUAAACUCAAAUGAAUUGACGGGGGCCCGCACAAGCGGUGGAGCAUGUGGUUUCAUUGGUGCAAUGCGAAGAACCUUACCUGUCCUUGACAUUUCCGAAUCUCCAAACACGGGGAAUUGCCCUUCCCGUAUCCAAGCCCCGGUCCUGCAAGGUUUUAUUCCAGUUCCCUGUUUAAACCUGGGGUUUUGCCCUCCAACGAGCCCAACCCCUUUCCUUUGUUUCCAGCCCGUAAGUUCGGGAAAUCAAGGGAGACUGCCGGUGAUAAACGGGAGGAAGGUGGGGAUGACGUCAAGUCAUCAUGGCCCUUACGGCCAGGGCUACACACGUGCUACAAUGGCGCGUACAAAGGGAAGCGACCUCGCGAGAGCGAGCGAGAUCCUCAAUAAAGCUGUCGUCGUAGUCCGGAUGGAGUCUGCACUCAUGCAGAUGC